Long non-coding RNA from Oncorhynchus masou masou (cherry salmon), 2027 nucleotides. RefSeq lists it as uncharacterized. The record is from RefSeq and is a predicted model, not a curated record. The transcript is spliced from 2 exons. Lineage: Eukaryota; Metazoa; Chordata; Actinopteri; Salmoniformes; Salmonidae.
UUGUCAUUAUGGGGUAUUGUGAUGUCAUUAUGGGGUAUUGUGAUGUCAUUAUGGGGUAUUGUGUGUAGAUUGAUGAGGGGGGGGAAAGGUAUUUUACCAAUUGUAAAAUAAGGCUGUAAAGUAAAAGGAAAAGAGGGGAAAUACACUGAAUACACUGUACUAUGUUUAAUAUGAUGUAAAUGUAAAGUCAUUUAAAUAUGAAGGAUAUACAUUGUUUAAAAUGCUAAACUCUACGAACAUAUCUACGUUCCAAAACGGGAUCUCUGCUGUCCGAGAGUUUUCAUGUUACAUUCAUCUCUCCUUGUUGUUUCCCCCUUUAGGAUUCUAGUAACGUGGAAUCAAAUGAAGCAUCUAGUUUCUCUACCUGGACUGAGGAAGUCAUCUCAGUAACAGACAGCCACUCUUCAGACAGUAGCUCCUGCACUAAAGAAGACUCUGAGGCACGGAAACCAGCAAAGAGAACAUGCCAUUCUAGUGGUGUGGUGAACGAACCAUCUUAUUUGUCCAACUUAUGUGAUGAAAACAACCCGGGGACUGAGAUCAGCCCUUCAGACGGCAACAAUGACAUGGACAUCCGAACACCCUCUGGGGCUCCUAGUCCAGCUAAGAGGAUAUGUCUGAGGGUGCAUGAUGCUGCCGUAGCAAGACGUGGGAGUGGAGAGAUGGCCUCCUGUUCCCCGUCCCAAAGUGCCAGGAUCCACUCCAUGUUACACCCACUGCUUGCACAGUCAAGGUCUGUACAUCCGAAAGUCACUACGGAAGCAUGUCAGAUACUGCCCUCUGAACCCCAAAGCUGAAGAACCAAAACCUGGACCAAAGAGGAGGAUUCAGUCAGCAAUGGCGUUUAUGAUGCGUCCUCAACCCGACUACGUCAGCACAGGUCUUUGGAAGAUCGUUUGUGGUAUGAACUCCGGCCAAGUUUCAUUUGUGGUUAGAAAUGACAAAUGUAUCCUCCUCAUGGGAGAGGAGCUGUACAACAAACUACAGCCAGAUAGCAGAAGAAACAAAUACAUUCAACAAAGAAUGAGAGAGGUGGCGAGACUCCUCAUCACGGCCAGGACGUGUACACCUCUGAUGUGCUUUGAGGACUUGGUCAUACCUAGUAAUUUACCUCACGUCAUCACGGCAGUGAGAGCUGUUGCUGGCUACAACGAGGAGAACAAAACGUACUAAGCCGUCCGACGCUGGCUGUUCAAAUGGGAUACAACUUAAUGAACAUUGGCAGCGCUGUGGAAUCCUGUGCACUGAGGUCAGGACGACGCGAAGUCGCGGAGUCUGCUGGCAAAUUCAAACGUUUCAAGUGGAAUGAGGUUGUUUUGGCUGGAGCGCUGACCACUCUCAGUGAACCCCAAAAUAAAUGCGCUCAGCCGACCCGUCGCACAGGCACCCAGCCGGCCUGUCUCCCAGCUGAGCCGGCGCCCAGCAAACCCAAAGAAACACUGUGAGAUUAAAGUGGAUCGUUGAUGAGGCAGCAGCAGCAGUAGAGAAACACAAGAUGCCGGUCAGAAAGAGUGGCCAAGUUCCUGGAAAGAGGGACUGCCUCAAAUGCCUCCAGUCAGAACCUGUGGCGCUCAAAAGCAGAAACUGGUCGGGCAUUAAGUUCUAUGUAAAUAGAGUCAAACGGAGACAGAGUGCUGCAGGGAAUUCAGAGGGCAGCACCCCUGACCUGGACUCAAACUCAGGUCCAGAGACUGGCAACCCAACACCUUAUCCAUUGCGUUUCCCAGUCAGACUUCGAACCAGCCAGGGAUUUGAACCAGCAACUUUGUGUGUGGUGGGGGGUUUACAGGUACCAAUAUUUAAAUUCAUAUUCUGUUCAUAUAUUUUAUAUCCAUUAGUUCACACAUUAUACAUGUGGGUUGCCACUGACAACAUUGAAGAAGAAAUGAACCUCUCCAUUUUCUGGUUGGUAAAAUUCUAAUAGUAAACCUAAUUUCAGUUUGUGACAAAACAAGCAAGUAUAGUGUAGACUACAGGAUCAUUGUACCAUCUAAACCGCUGUGAAAUAUAUUUUCCAUAACCCUAAA